UGGGGAAUAUUGCACAAUGGGCGCAAGCCUGAUGCAGCCAUGCCGCGUGUGUGAAGAAGGCCUUCGGGUUGUAAAGCACUUUCAGCGAGGAGGAAGGGUAGUGUGUUAAUAGCACAUUGCAUUGACGUUACUCGCAGAAGAAGCACCGGCUAACUCCGUGCCAGCAGCCGCGGUAAUACGGAGGGUGCAAGCGUUAAUCGGAAUUACUGGGCGUAAAGCGCACGCAGGCGGUUUGUUAAGUCAGAUGUGAAAUCCCCGCGCUUAC
Molecule: ribosomal RNA, 265 nt
Filed under: uncultured bacterium
Lineage: Bacteria
Description: partial 16S ribosomal RNA
Rfam family: Bacterial small subunit ribosomal RNA
Source: RNAcentral